AUUUAAAUAGUUUAAUUAAAAUAUUAAUUUGUGGUGUUAAUGAUGUAGAUAAAAAUUUACUUUAAAUU
This 68-nucleotide transfer RNA is filed under the name Allacta hainanensis. RNAcentral's name for it is "tRNA-His". Lineage: Eukaryota; Metazoa; Arthropoda; Insecta; Blattodea; Pseudophyllodromiidae. The record is from RNAcentral.